RNAcentral lists this ribosomal RNA (1548 nucleotides) under metagenome. RNAcentral describes it as "bacterial SSU rRNA". It matches the Rfam family "Bacterial small subunit ribosomal RNA". The record is from RNAcentral.
AGAGUUUGAUCCUGGCUCAGAGUGAACGCUGGCGGCGUUGAUUAGGCAUGCAAGUCGAGCGAUCCUUGUUUGAACUUUGCGGAAGUGCUUGCACGGAAGCAAAGGGAUAACGCUGGAUAGCGGCAAACGGGUGAGGAACACGUGAACAACUUUCCCUUAAGUCUGGAAUAGCUUCGUGAAAACGGAGGUAAUUCCGGAUAAUAUCUGAAGGACACAUGUCCUUCUUAUUAAAGGUGGGGAUCUUAGGACCUACCGCUUAUGGAUAGGUUCGCGUCCUAUCAGCUUGUUGGUGAGGUAACGGCUCACCAAGGCGUAUGACGGGUAGCUGGUCUGAGAGGAUGGUCAGCCACACUGGGACUGCGACACUGCCCAGACUCCUACGGGAGGCUGCAGUCGAGAAUAUUUAGCAAUGGGCGAAAGCCUGACUAUGCGACGCCGCGUGCAGGAUGAAGGCCUUCGGGUUGUAAACUGCUUUUGUUAGGGAAGAAAAUUCCGACACUAAUACUGUCGGGACUGACGGUACCUGGCGAAUAAGCCACGGCCAACUCCGUGCCAGCAGCCGCGGUAAUACGGAGGUGGCAAGCGUUACUCGGAUUCACUGGGUGUAAAGGGCAAGUAGGCGGUUUGAUAAGUGAGAGGUGAAAUCUUCCGACUUAAUCGGGAAACUGCCUUUCAAACUAUCAAACUUGAGGAAGGAAGAGGGAAAUGGAAUUCUCGGUGUAAGGGUGAAAUCUGUAGAUAUCGAGAAGAACACCAGCGGCGAAGGCGAUUUCCUGGUCCUUUCCUGACGCUGAAUUGCGAAAGCUAGGGGAGCAAACAGAAUUAGAUACUCUGGUAGUCCUAGCUGUAAACGAUGAGCACUAGGUGUUGGUCCGUUCUCGGAUCAGUGCCGCAGCUAACGCAUUAAGUGCUCCACCUGGGGACUACGGUCGCAAGGCUAAAACUCAAAGGAAUUGACGGGGACCCGCACAAGCGGUGGAACAUGUGGUUUAAUUCGAUGAUACGCGAAAAACCUCACCAGGGUUUGACAUGCAGGCAGUAGUGAACUGAAAGGGGAUCGAACCGUCAAGUCCGGUAACCUGCACAGGUGCUGCAUGGCUGUCGUCAGCUCGUGUCGUGAGAUGUUGGGUUAAGUCCCGCAACGAGCGCAACCAUUAUCCCAUGUUGCCACUCCUUUCGAUACUUGUAUCGGGAGGAAGCACUCUUGGGAGACUGCCUGGGAUAACCAGGAGGAAGGUGGAGAUGACGUCAAGUCAGUACGGCCUUUAUGCCCUGGGCGACACACGUGUUACAAUGACCGAUACAAAGGGUUGCCAACCCGCGAGGGGGAGCUAAUCUCUAAAAAUCGGUCUCAGUUCGGAUUGGAGUCUGCAAUUCGACUCCAUGAAGCCGGAAUCGCUAGUAAUGGGAGAUCAGCACGCUCCCGUGAAUACGUUCCCGGGUCUUGUACACACCGCCCGUCAAGCGAUGGGAGCUGGUGGUACCCGAAGUCCUGUGUAGGCAGGCCGAAGGUAAAACUGGUGACUGGCGCUAAGUCGGAACAAGGUA